RNAcentral lists this small nuclear RNA (132 nucleotides) under Cervus hanglu yarkandensis (Yarkand deer). RNAcentral's name for it is "U4 spliceosomal RNA (ENSCHYG00000021349.1)". It matches the Rfam family "U4 spliceosomal RNA". Rfam says of the family: U4 small nuclear RNA (U4 snRNA) is a component of the major U2-dependent spliceosome. The structure of U4 snRNA from yeast and human has been reported. The record is from Rfam by way of RNAcentral. Lineage: Eukaryota; Metazoa; Chordata; Mammalia; Artiodactyla; Cervidae.
AGCUUUGCGCAGUGGCAGUAUCGUAGCCAAUGAGGUUUAGCCGAGGCGCGAUUAUUGCUAAUUGAAAAAAAAAAAAAAAGAAAUCCUUCCUCAGUGAUCAAUGCAAAGAAAUAGAGGAAAGCAAUACAAUGG